Molecule: ribosomal RNA, 252 nt
Filed under: uncultured bacterium
Lineage: Bacteria
Description: partial 16S ribosomal RNA
Rfam family: Bacterial small subunit ribosomal RNA
Source: RNAcentral
UACGUAGGGUGCGAGCGUUAAUCGGAAUUACUGGGCGUAAAGCGUGCGCAGGCGGUUAUGUAAGACAGUUGUGAAAUCCCCGGGCUCAACCUGGGAACUGCAUCUGUGACUGCAUAGCUAGAGUACGGUAGAGGGGAUGGAAUUCCGCGUGUAGCAGUGAAAUGCGUAGAUAUGCGGAGGAACACCGAUGGCGAAGGCAAUCCCCUGGACCUGUACUGACGCUCAUGCACGAAAGCGUGGGGAGCAAACAGG